This 71-nucleotide transfer RNA is filed under the name Austrofundulus leohoignei. Its description in RNAcentral is "tRNA-Gln". It matches the Rfam family "tRNA". From Rfam's summary of the family: Transfer RNA (tRNA) molecules are approximately 80 nucleotides in length. Their secondary structure includes four short double-helical elements and three loops (D, anti-codon, and T loops). The record is from RNAcentral. Lineage: Eukaryota; Metazoa; Chordata; Actinopteri; Cyprinodontiformes; Rivulidae.
UAGAAAGAAGUGUGUUGGGUGCACAAGGGGUUUUGAUCUCCUUAGGUUAGGUUCGAAUCCUUUCUUUUUAA